GACGAACGCUGGCGGCGUGCUUAACACAUGCAAGUCGAGCGAACAGGCCCUGCUUUUGUGGGGUGCUCGAGUGGCGAACAGGUGAGUAACACGUGAGUAAACUGUCCUUGAAAUUGGGAUAACUUCAGGAAAAUGGGGCUCAUACAGGAUAGGAGCUCCUGAUGCAUAGGGGGGGUUGGAGAGUGUCGGCGGUUCGGGAUCGACUCGCGGCUUAUCAGCUUCUUGGUGGAGUAGUGGCUUACCAAGGCUUUGACGGGUAGCCGGCCUGAGAGGUGGGACGGCCACCUUGGGACUGAGAUAGGGCGCAGAAGCCAAUGGGAGGCAGCAGUGGGGAAUAUUGCACAAUGGGCGGAAGCCUGAUGCAGCAAUGCCGCGUGCGGGAUGACGGCCUUCGGGUUGUAAACCGCUUUCGCCGGUGACGAAGCGUGAGUGACGGUAAUGGGUAAAGAAGCACCGGCUAACUACGUG
This 468-nucleotide ribosomal RNA is filed under the name uncultured bacterium. Its description in RNAcentral is "partial 16S ribosomal RNA". It matches the Rfam family "Bacterial small subunit ribosomal RNA", at positions 28 to 507 of the family's 1533-position model. The record is from RNAcentral.